GGAAGGACCAUAGCUCAGAAGAAGCAUAUCUGCUUUGCAUGCAGGAGGUUCCGGGUUCAAUCCCCAGCAUUUUUCCA
This is a non-coding RNA of Podarcis lilfordi (Lilford's wall lizard), 77 nucleotides long. Lineage: Eukaryota; Metazoa; Chordata; Lepidosauria; Squamata; Lacertidae. The record is from the annotation of a GenBank genome assembly.